AAAGAGAAGCAAGACCGUGAGGUGGAGCAAAACUCAAAAACUUAGUCUCAGUUCGGAUUGUAGGCUGAAACUCGCCCACAUGAAGCUGGAGUUGCUAGUAAUCGCGAAUCAGCAUGUCGCGGUGAAUACGUUCCCGGGCCUUGUACACACCGCCCGUCACACCAUGAGAGUUGGCAAUACCCAACGUACGUGAUCUAACCCGCAAGGGAGGAAGCGUCCUAAGGUAGGGUCAGCGAUUGGGGUGAAGUCGUAACAAGGUAGC
This 262-nucleotide ribosomal RNA is filed under the name uncultured bacterium. Its description in RNAcentral is "partial 16S ribosomal RNA". It matches the Rfam family "Bacterial small subunit ribosomal RNA", at positions 1241 to 1500 of the family's 1533-position model. The record is from RNAcentral.